RNAcentral lists this ribosomal RNA (253 nucleotides) under uncultured bacterium. RNAcentral describes it as "partial 16S ribosomal RNA". It matches the Rfam family "Bacterial small subunit ribosomal RNA", at positions 524 to 776 of the family's 1533-position model. The record is from RNAcentral.
UACGUAGGGGGCAAGCGUUGUCCGGAAUCAUUGGGCGUAAAGAGCGUGUAGGCGGCCCGAUAAGUCCGCUGUGAAAGUCCAGGGCUCAACCCUGGGAUGCCGGUGGAUACUGUCGGGCUAGAGUGCGGAAGAGGCGAGUGGAAUUCCUGGUGUAGCGGUGAAAUGCGCAGAUAUCGGGAGGAACACCGGUGGCGAAGGCGGUUCUCUGGGCCUUACCUGACGCUGAGGAGCGAAAGCGUGGGGAGCGAACAGG